Molecule: ribosomal RNA, 261 nt
Filed under: uncultured prokaryote
Description: partial 16S ribosomal RNA
Rfam family: Bacterial small subunit ribosomal RNA
Source: RNAcentral
UACGUAGGUGGCAAGCGUUGUCCGGAUUUAUUGGGCGUAAAGCGAGCGCAGGCGGUUCCUUAAGUCUGAUGUGAAAGCCCACGGCUCACCGGUGGAAGGUCAUUGGAAACUGGGGAACUUGAGUGCAGAAGAGGAGAGUGGAAUUCCAUGUGUAGCGGUGAAAUGCGUAGAGAUUAGGAAGAACACCAGUGGCGAAGGCGAUUCUCUGGACUGUAACUGACGCUGAGGCUCGAAAGCGUGGGGAGCAAACAGGAUUAGAUA